RNAcentral lists this ribosomal RNA (253 nucleotides) under uncultured bacterium. RNAcentral's name for it is "partial 16S ribosomal RNA". It matches the Rfam family "Bacterial small subunit ribosomal RNA", at positions 524 to 776 of the family's 1533-position model. The record is from RNAcentral.
UACGAAGGGGGCUAGCGUUGUUCGGAAUUACUGGGCGUAAAGCGCACGUAGGCGGGUAUUUAAGUCGGGGGUGAAAUCCCGGAGCUCAACUCCGGAACUGCCUUUGAUACUGGGUACCUAGAGUAUGGAAGAGGUAAGUGGAAUUCCGAGUGUAGAGGUGAAAUUCGUAGAUAUUCGGAGGAACACCAGUGGCGAAGGCGGCUUACUGGUCCAUUACUGACGCUGAGGUGCGAAAGCGUGGGGAGCAAACAGG